Long non-coding RNA from Zingiber officinale, 664 nucleotides. RefSeq lists it as uncharacterized. The transcript has 3 exons. Lineage: Eukaryota; Viridiplantae; Streptophyta; Magnoliopsida; Zingiberales; Zingiberaceae. The record is from RefSeq and is a predicted model, not a curated record.
CCCGACGCCGAACCUCGCGCGCCGAGUUUCCAUUCUUCUCCCGAUCCCUCUGCCCUAACCACCUCGAGACAGUUCCUCUUCUCUUCUUCUUUCCUCUCCCUCGCGUCCGAUCACAGCUGACACUGAUGCCUUAGCCUUCCUCUACGCCGAACCUUUCCUCUUUCUCCUUCCUCGUGACGGCCAUCUCCACUACUGCUAGCCGACGCGGAUCACCGACCCUAGCGCCACACCGAUGCUUCUGCCCUAGCCACCUUGCGCCGCCACCACAGUCGACGCCGCCCGGAGAAGUGCCGACGGUCUCCCCUUCUGUGCUGAGCCCUAUCUCCGAUCGCCGGGCAGAGCAGGUUUCUUGCUUCUACCUUAGCUCUGUGCCCUAGCGUCCGACAUCUCCUGGUACAGCCGAGUCUUCCUCUCGCACGAAAUCAGCACAGCAGUGCCCUUUCGCCACUGUCCUUGUGCCCUAGCACCGGUCGGCCAGCCGUCAAGUGCUAGCAGCAACUUUGACGGAUCCUAGGUCAUCACAGGCAGUAGGAGGGAAGAGCUUCUCCGAAUCUCGGCAGUAAGUUCUUUAGGAUUUGAGCAGUGUUGAGGCAUCAGAAAAUUUGGGACUUUGACGCGAGACGAGUAUCUCGACGUUAGAUUUGGACCAGAUUGGAUAUUCCUA